Molecule: transfer RNA, 82 nt
Filed under: Clostridiales bacterium
Lineage: Bacteria; Bacillati; Bacillota; Clostridia; Eubacteriales
Description: tRNA-Leu
Rfam family: tRNA
About the family: Transfer RNA (tRNA) molecules are approximately 80 nucleotides in length. Their secondary structure includes four short double-helical elements and three loops (D, anti-codon, and T loops).
Source: RNAcentral
GCGGAUGUGAUGGAAUUGGUAGACAUGCAGGAUUUAGGUUCCUGUGCUGCGAGGCGUGUGGGUUCGAGUCCCUUCAUCCGCA